RNAcentral lists this ribosomal RNA (253 nucleotides) under uncultured bacterium. RNAcentral describes it as "partial 16S ribosomal RNA". It matches the Rfam family "Bacterial small subunit ribosomal RNA", at positions 524 to 776 of the family's 1533-position model. The record is from RNAcentral.
UACGGAGGGGGCAAGCGUUAUUCGGAAUUAUUGGGCGUAAAGGGCGCGUAGGCGGCUAGAUGUGUCAAAGGUGAAAUCCCUCGGCUCAACUGAGGAACUGCCUUUGAAACUGUCUGGCUUGAGGCCGGGAGAGGGUAGCGGAAUUCCCAGUGUAGCGGUGAAAUGCGUAGAUAUUGGGAGGAACACCAGUGGCGAAGGCGGCUACCUGGACCGGUUCUGACGCUGAGGCGCGAAAGCGUGGGUAGCAACCAGG